GACGAACGCUGGCGGCGUGCCUAACACAUGCAAGUCGAGCGAAGCACAUAAAGUAGCUUGCUAUUUUUUGUGACUGAGCGGCGAACGGGUGAGUAACACGUGGGUAAUCUGCCUGGUAGACUGGGAUAACAGUUGGAAACGGCUGCUAAUACCGGAUGAUAUUUAACCUGUAGUAGGUUGAAUCAAAGCGUUAUGUAGCGCUAUCAGAUGAGCCCGCGUCCCAUUAGUUAGUUGGUGGGGUAAUGGCCUACCAAGGCGACGAUGGGUAGCCGGUCUGAGAGGAUGGACGGCCACACUGGGACUGAGACACGGCCCAGACUCCUACGGGAGGCAGCAGUGGGGAAUUUUGCGCAAUGGGGGCAACCCUGACGCAGCGACGCCGCGUGAGCGAAGAAGGCCUUCGGGUUGUAAAGCUCUGUCUAGGGGGAAGAUAGUGACGGUACCCCUGGAGGAAGCCCCGGCUAACUACGUGCCAGCAGCCGCGGUAAGACGUAGGGGGCGAGCGUUGUCCGGAAUUACUGGGCGUAAAGGGCGUGUAGGCGGCCUUUAAGUUGGAUGUGAAAGCUCCCGGCUUAACUGGGAGAGGACGUUCAAAACUGAAGAGCUUGAGUAUGAGAGAGGAAAAUGGAAUUCCGGGUGUAGUGGUGAAAUGCGUAGAUAUCCGGAGGAACACCAGUGGCGAAGGCGAUUUUCUGGCUCGUAACUGACGCUCAGACGCGAAAGCUAGGGUAGCAAACG
RNAcentral lists this ribosomal RNA (738 nucleotides) under uncultured bacterium. RNAcentral's name for it is "bacterial SSU rRNA". It matches the Rfam family "Bacterial small subunit ribosomal RNA", at positions 28 to 774 of the family's 1533-position model. The record is from RNAcentral.